UCGCUGGAUCACAACUGACGCUGAGGGACGAAAGCUAGGGGAGCAAACAGGAUUAGAUACCCUGGUAGUCCUAGCCCUAAACCAUCAGGACUUGGGGUUUGCCCUGUACGGGGCAAGUCCCGUAGCUAACGCGUUAAGUCCUGCGCCUGGGGAGUACGGUCGCAAGACUGAAACUCAAAGGAAUUGACGGGGGCCCGCACAAGCGGUGGAACAUGUGGUUCAAUUCGACGCAACGCGAAGAACCUUACCUGGGCUUGAACCGCACAGGACCAUCUUUGGAAACAGAGACUUCCCGCAAGGGACCUGUGUAGAGGUGCUGCAUGGCUGUCGUCAGCUCGUGCCGUGAGGUGUUGGGUUAAGUCCCGCAACGAGCGCAACCCUUACUCAUAGUUGCCACCCGCAAGGGGGAACUCUAUGAGGACUGCUCCGGAUAACGGAGAGGAAGGUGGGGAUGAGAUCAAGUCAGCAUGGCCUUUAUGUCCAGGGCUACACACGUGUUACAAUGCGCGCCACAAAGCGUUGCAAACCCGCGAGGGGGAGCUAAUCGCAAAAAAGCGCGCUCAGUUCGGAUUGCAGUCUGCAACUCGACUGCAUGAAGCCGGAAUCGCUAGUAAUGGCGCAUCAGAACGGCGCCGUGAAUACGUUCCCGGGCCUUGUACACACCGCCCGUCACAUCGCGAAAGUGGGCUGUACUAGAAAUCGCCGUGCCAACCGCAAGGAGGCAGGCGCUCAAGGUAUGACUCAUGAUUGGGGUGAAGUCGUAACAAGGUAACC
This 774-nucleotide ribosomal RNA is filed under the name uncultured soil bacterium. Its description in RNAcentral is "bacterial SSU rRNA". It matches the Rfam family "Bacterial small subunit ribosomal RNA", at positions 726 to 1501 of the family's 1533-position model. The record is from RNAcentral.